Molecule: unclassified non-coding RNA, 774 nt
Filed under: Zea mays
Lineage: Eukaryota; Viridiplantae; Streptophyta; Magnoliopsida; Poales; Poaceae
Description: misc RNA Zm00001eb069430
Source: RNAcentral
AGCCGCGGCCACGGGUCAUCACAACGACGACCUGGUUGGAGAACAGAGUCGAGUAGGACGCCAUCUCCGGGACGCCGCUGAACCACAGCCCGUUCCAGGGCCCCGUCCGGUACUUCUUGGUGUUGCCUUGCCAGGAGACGCAGUCCGGGAGGCCCCUCGUGUCCAUCACACGCCGGCAGUCCCCGGUCGUCGGGUCGUUCGGCGCGCGCCACGACGUGAGCGACCACUCCGCGCCAGUCUUCGGGUCCUUGCCGAGUCUCAUGCCGGCGAGCAAGGUGUUCGACGGGUGGUCGAACGACUGCCAGAGCACGUUGCCGCUGCUCAGCUGUCGCACGACUAGGUUGCCGGACUCAAGUAGCUGCGCCACGGCAGGAGCGGAACUCGUCGUGUUGGAAGACCACACGGUCUGGCCGGAGCCGUCGAGAAGGCGAAGGCUCCCGGUGCUGCCGACUGCCAGUACUCCUACUCCUGAGGUGUUGCUAAUGGGGGCGUCACGGUUGGCGACCCAACAGACGGCAUCCGGGGACGCGGUGAACCAGAUGCCAAGGUACCUCUUUGCUGACACGCCGGUCGGGGAGAAGAAGCCCAGGGUGAAUGAGCUGCCGGAUGAGACCAAAAUCUCGCCGUCGGUGAUGUUGCCAUCGCUGCUGAGCGUGUCAGAUGCGAUGCCAGCGGCCGAGCCUCUGAGAAAAAGCAAGAGCACGGGGAAAAUCAUGGCGGGAAGAUUGAGAAAUCUGUUGGUUGGUGACUCCAUGAUAGACGAUGCUAGAAUCU